GCUCCUGCUUCUAGACAGACUCAUACCCCUACAUAUAUAAAAGAGGAACAAAGAAAGGAGUGAAAAAGAAGUGCAUUCAAGGCGCCCUCCCUCCCUCAGUUAGCUACUAGAAACGUGCCCCAGGUAGAGUCACUCCAUCGCAUAGAGGCUGGCUGACUGGAUGGAUCCUCUCACCAGGUGUCUGCUCCCCAAAGGUGUCGACACCGGAGUGCAGACAAAAGGGACUGAACCAAGCCUGCAGUUGUGUCUGCAGUUCAAGGCUACAGGUAAGGAUCUUCAUGGUGUAAGAACCACUGUUGUUUGGCUGAAAACACCGCAGCAAGGCGAAGUGCACACCCGGAAGUAAAACGGAAAUCAAGACGGGGACGAGCGGAAGUGUGUUUAUUCUUCUGCGGCACGCGUUCGAUUCGCUUAGACUUUUAAAGCUUCUGCUUCACUGGACUCUUUUUGUCUUCAAUUGAGGACUAUUUUCAAUCCAAACUGCUUCACAUAAGAACAAUUAACUUAACUGCAUCACAAUGUUGUGUUAAAGUUGAUAAUUAUGACAUAGCGGGGGAGAAACGCUGUUAAAAAGAGGUUCGCGUACAUGAUUGCAGUUGACGCAUUCAUUAGAUAAUUCAUUCUCAAGCUAAAUAUGUGUGUUAAGUACAUUCGUUUGUAUUCCAUUUUAUUUUCACAAUUCUUUAAUUACUACUUUGAAUCUAUAUAUAUAAUUUUUCUUAUCUUAUAACUAACUAUUAUUUAUCUUAUUUUGAUUAUCAUUGUUAUAUUCAUUGCUUUAU
Long non-coding RNA from Notolabrus celidotus (New Zealand spotty), 782 nucleotides. RefSeq lists it as uncharacterized. The record is from RefSeq and is a predicted model, not a curated record. The transcript is spliced from 4 exons. Lineage: Eukaryota; Metazoa; Chordata; Actinopteri; Labriformes; Labridae.